UGCCCUCCACUUUCCUCCACUUUCCUCCACUGCCCUCCACUGCCCUCCACUUUCUUCCACUGCCCUCCACUGCCCUCUACUUUCCUCCACUGCCCUCCACUUUCCUCCACUUUCCUCCACUGCCCUCCACUUUCUUCCACUGCCCUCCACUGCCCUCCACUUUCCUCCACUGCCCUCCACUGCCCUCCACUUUCCUCCACUGCCCUCCACUGCCCUCAACUUUCCUCCACUUUCCUCCACUGCCCUCCACUGCCCUCCACUGCCCUCCACUUUCUUCCACUGCCCUCCACUGCCCUCCACUUUCCUCCACUGCCCUCCACUGCUCUCCACUGCCCUCCACUUUCUUCCACUGCCCUCCACUUUCCUCCACUUUCCUCCACUUUCCUCUACUGCCCUCCACUGCCCUCCACUUUCUUCCACUGCCCUCCACUUUCCUCCACUUUCCUCCACUGCUCUCCACUUUCUUCCACUGCCCUCCACUGCCCUCCACUGCCCUCCACUUUCUUCCACUGCCCUCCACUUUCCUCCACUGCUCUCCACUGCCCUCCACUUUCUUCCACUGCUCUCCACUUUCCUCCACUGCUCUCCACUGCCCUCCACUUUCCUCCACUGCCCUCCACUUUCCUUCACUUUCCUCCACUGUUCUCCACUUUCCUCCACUGCCCUCCACUUUCUUCCACUGCCCUCCACUGUUCUCCACUUUCCUCCACUGCUCUCCACUUUCCUCCACUUUCCUCCACUGCUCUCCACUUUCCUCCACUGUUCUCCACUUUCCUCCACUCUUCAUGUUGAUAGUCAUUUAGGGUCUUUUUUUAUCUACUUGGAAAGCAGCCUCUCUAUGUUUUUAUCUCACAAUAAUCUGCACUUCCAUUUCCAUUUUAACCAUUGUUACAGUUCAUAGGUUUCUGGAAAUCUUUGUUUAAAUUCAUGGUGUCUUAACCUUCACUAGUCAUGGUGAGGUAACAAGAUAACAAGCCAAGACUACAAUAAAAGCACAAGAAAAACAUCAGUCUUCUCAAUGGUACACAUUGUACCAUGGCACAGAACAAGGAAACUUUGCAUUCAGACAUAGUU
Molecule: long non-coding RNA, 1074 nt
Organism: Electrophorus electricus (electric eel)
Lineage: Eukaryota; Metazoa; Chordata; Actinopteri; Gymnotiformes; Gymnotidae
Source: Ensembl